This is a long non-coding RNA of Oncorhynchus keta (chum salmon), 164 nucleotides long. RefSeq lists it as uncharacterized. The record is from RefSeq and is a predicted model, not a curated record. The transcript has 3 exons. NCBI's taxonomy places the organism in Eukaryota, Metazoa, Chordata, Actinopteri, Salmoniformes, Salmonidae.
GUCCAUAAAGACACAGGACAGGAUGUCAACACUCUAGGUCCAUAAAGACACAGGACAGGAUGCCAACACUCUAGGUCCAUAAAGACACAGGACAGGAUGCCAGCACUCUAGGUCCAUAAAGACACAGGACAGGAUGUCAACACUCUAGGUCCAUAAAGACACAG